GAGACUGCCAGGGAUAACCUGGAGGAAGGUGGGGAUGACGUCAAAUCAUCAUGCCCCUUAUGCUUAGGGCUACACACGUGCUACAAUGGGUAGUACAGAGGGUUGCCAAGCCGUAAGGUGGAGCUAAUCCCUUAAAGCUACUCUCAGUUCGGAUUGUAGGCUGAAACUCGCCUACAUGAAGCUGGAGUUACUAGUAAUCGCAGAUCAGAAUGCUGCGGUGAAUGCGUUCCCGGGUCUUGUACACACCGCCCGUCACACCACGGGAGUUGGAGACGCCCGAAGCCGAUUAUCUAACCUUUUGGAAGAAGUCGUCGAAGGUGGAAUCAAUAACUGGGGUGAAGUCGUAACAAGGUAGCCGUAUCGGAAGGUGCGGCUGGAUC
RNAcentral lists this ribosomal RNA (380 nucleotides) under Clostridioides difficile. RNAcentral's name for it is "bacterial SSU rRNA". It matches the Rfam family "Bacterial small subunit ribosomal RNA", at positions 1145 to 1524 of the family's 1533-position model. Lineage: Bacteria; Bacillati; Bacillota; Clostridia; Peptostreptococcales; Peptostreptococcaceae. The record is from RNAcentral.